UACAGCAUCCCAUUUUAAUUUGAGUAACUCAUUUGCUUGAUAAUAGAUGGACGUAGAAAUGCAUACACAAUUAUUUAUGCCACCUACACUGUAUUUAUGAAAUUAAAAUGAAAAAUUAGUAUGUAAUAAAUGUUGCACAUUAUAAAUACUGAAAUUGCACAAGAGUAUGGUCUAAUUGUAAAAACUACAGUACAGUAUACACACACACAGAGCGAGAGAGAGGGAUAACAAUACUGCUGCCUAAUUUAUAAGUAGAUGUAUUUUCUUUCAAAUAAAGGUUAAAAAAAUGUCCAUAUUUUUGUACGCAGUUGGAGUUCAUCUUACGUGACUAAUUGGCUACAACUAGGUUUCUGCUUCCAGCAAGAGAAAAGCUGCAAAGAAUAAAUUCCAACAGAAGCAAAACAACAUCACAAACAACAGAGUUGUGAGAGCAGCUUGAAUGAUAUAACUACACCACCACAGAUAAUUCCCAGAUAUUUGACAAUGGGGCUAUGUCUGUGGAUGACUGGGAACUAGAAAUCUGGCUCAGGGUAAAGUGGUUUGAGCCGGCCCCCUCUGCCUUGAUAUCUGUCAUUGAUCUUGCAAAAGUGGAAUAGAUGUAGAUUGUACAUUUUGUGCGCUACUUAUUGAGAGAGUGGAGGGGACAUAAAAGGUUCAAACAAUAGCUAUAGCCCAUAUCUAACCAAACAUUAACCAUAGCAAAUAUCUAAACCUAUGUAACUGCUGGUCAAUUAAAUGAAAAAGAAACACUUAAUUAUGACAUCAUGAUAUAGAAGACUUAUAAUGUAUUAAACAGAUACUGCAGUUAAUCAUAAUCAAAUAGCUAUAGUUAGGUCUUUGCUUCUAGAAGCAAAUGAUUGGGAACUAGGAAUCUGGCUCUGGGUAAGGUUGUGCUUAACUUUGUGCUCUGUUUUAUUGAGAGAGGAGGGCACAUAACAGGUUCAAACACUAACUAUCAUCUAGAUCAGGGGUCGGGAACCUAUGGCUUGCAAGCCAUUUAUGGCUCUUUCGGUGAUUGGCUAUGGCUCAAUGGCAGGAAAAGAAAAUAGGUAGUGUGUCAAUUCAGUCCACAUUCUGCAUAUUACAUAUUUUAAAAUAUUACAUAAUUCAUAAUCGAUUCCCGUUUGUCAUGCAGACUUCAACCUGCGGCACAACAUGCUCAAUUUCCAGUGUGAAGCAGAGCGGUAAUUUCCCAGACUAAUUCAUAAAUCGAUUGAAAACUACAUAGCCAGUCUGUUUUCUUUCUUUUCUUUCCUUUUUUUUUUAACAAAGGUGAAAUGGCUAAAAGAACAAAAAUGACGAGUAUCGUUCUUUCUAGACCGAAUGGACAGACGAAUCUGCAUAUUUGGAAGUUGCAUUUAUGUGUUGAUAAAUGAGACCCCUGAUAUGGAGCGCACCACAGUUUGGGUCGACGUGGUGAAAGCAAACCAAGACCUAGACCAAUUUCACAAGCCGUGG
Molecule: long non-coding RNA, 1458 nt
Organism: Ictalurus punctatus (channel catfish)
Lineage: Eukaryota; Metazoa; Chordata; Actinopteri; Siluriformes; Ictaluridae
Exons: 2
Source: RefSeq, a predicted model, not a curated record